This 3472-nucleotide long non-coding RNA is filed under the name Daucus carota (carrot). Its description in RNAcentral is "long non-coding RNA (DCAR_LNC001292)". The record is from RNAcentral. Lineage: Eukaryota; Viridiplantae; Streptophyta; Magnoliopsida; Apiales; Apiaceae.
CUAGCACUACUAACAAGUGUUUUAAAAAAAUAAUAAUAAAAACCUUUUGAUGAAAAAUUGGAGAACUCAAAGUUCAACAUAUGAGGAACUCACAGUAGUGAAGCAUACAAAGUUAUCAUUACUCUUUCACUUCUUUUCCUUUUGCCUUUUAUGCUUGGGAGAUGAAAGAGAGGAAUUGGACGAAAUUUGCCGGACAUGCUCUCUUUUAACGACCUCAAAACAGCUUUUGAAGCACUUUUUUUGGUUUGUGCCUUAUUUGGACCAGUGCAUGACUCUGUGUGUAUGAAGUCAUUGGCUUCAACCUCAACUGUAGCAGUUGCUGUAGACUUGUCAGUUGACACAACAGGCUCUUUCCAACACACGUAGUUCUCUUUUUGGCACAACUGUUGCAAUUCUCUCACUGGUUGAAACUUGAUCGUCUCAAGAGAAACCAAGGUUUUCAAAAGCGGCCUUAUGCUCUCGGAUUAUUACAAUAUCUUUUUCAUAUCCGGAAUCUACUAAUAUUGCCUUAGCUAGAGAUUUUAUUACAUCUCCAAGAUCCUUUACCACAUGCCCAACAAAAUCAAAUGAAUGCGGGAAUCACCAUCUUAAAUGCUUCUAUCCAUAGGAUUUGAAAAAAUAGGCUUUUAUCUGCAAAGCUUUAAUUCAUGCCAAAAAUGUAAGUCCAUUAUAAUCAAUAAUUCUAAAUUAAUUCAUGCCAAAAAAUUUGUUGAACCUGUAAGACAUUGUGCUUCGAUGAUUUUGGCUAUAAUUUAAAAAUAUUAUGUUAUUAAUAUUUUAGAUUGUUAUAAAUAGAAUACAUCACUUCAAUAUGGUAGUAAAUGAUGUCUAAUCUUCCCACAAAUUUCUUAAAGGCAUGUAGAGGUUUGACAAUUAUAGUCAGUCAUAACAGCUUGGCUAUAAUUAUAGAUAAGGGGAGAGUAUGGUUGGAGUGUGAUAUUUUGAACUGAUUAUCAAUUUUUUUUUUAUCUGUGCUAUGCCAACUCACUUUUUAACAAAGGGUUUUAAUGAUUGGAAUUUGACGCGGGUUGUCAUAUGCAUAUGGCCUUUAUGGGGCAUCCUGGUUUUGCCGGAGACCCUCCUCCAUCUUGUGAGAGGACUGAACCAACUUGGCGAACGGUGCAAGCAGGAUGAAGUAGUGUUUUCCGUUGCGCGAUAAACAUAUGGCUUCUUUUACAAUCAAGGUCAAGUAAGAGGUGUCAUGCAAACUCAUCCGUGCUUCCGGUAAAGUUGUUGCCAAGAGGCCGGUUAAGAAAGCUUUUCUCAAGUAAUUAAAUGAGAGCAUGUUGAACAUGCCACAACUUGUCCCUGCCAAAAGAGGGCAUGUGAAGCAGAUAGAAGAAAAAGAAGAUAUUCUGAUAAAUUUUAUUAAUUGACUUCCCACUAGAAGUGGUGCUUUAUGCAUAGAAGGCCAUAGUGAUUUAUUCUUUGUAGGAAGAUUACUUGGUAGAAGUUUGGAAAUAAAUUUUACCGGCUCUUAGUUGAGUUACGUUUGUUAACGAGACAGUGUCUUCCGUCAUAUAAAAUUGUUAGCUGAAAUUAGUUAAAUGUUAUUAUAAAAAGUUCAAAUCUAGAUGAAGUUUGAUACUUUACACUUUUGUAUAAUGCACAACUCACAAUUAUAUUUUAUUAUUUUAUUUAUGUGGAGUCUAAGUCCAUUAAACUUUGAGCACUAUGAAUCCUAGUUCACAUGAUCCAAGCACAUUUUUAAUGUUAGAGUUGCCAUAAAACCAAUAUAUAGUGUAAUAUAAUAGUCCAACAUCAUUGCCAUAACAUUUAUAGCCAACAUCGUAGGAGAUGCUCUAAACUAGUAAUAUUUAUUUGGGAAAUGAAAUGUAUACUUCACAUUAAAAAAUAUUAUACUACACAUACAAGCGUUGCUUACAAUAUUUUAGCAAGUGAAGUGUUUCUUAUUUCUCUUUUGCAGCAUCUUGAGUUUCUUGGAAAUUCUGUACCGGAUUAUAUCAGAACCAUGCAUCUGUACCAUAAAUACCCAGGAAUAUCACCUGGAUUGCUAACUGAUCUGAGAUCAGCUUCUGUAAACAAUGAUUUUUACUCUUUAUGUGCGAUUAGGGCCGGAUUGCAGAAGCACAUUCUUCAUGCUUCCCAAAAACUUCACAGGCAAUUGGAGUCCUCUCUUCAGAAAUUAGAUCCAUUAUUAAUGGAACAAUAUUUGGAUGGGAUUCAGAAAAUUCUCUUCCCAAGGUCAGUGUUCGAAGCUUGAUGUAAUUAUUUAUUUCCAUGUAAACUUCUCCUAACAACAUGUUUUUUGAAAAAAAAAAGAGAGAAAGGAAUGUUAUCUCAUAAAAACUAAAAUUAUAUAUAUUGGAUAAUAAGUAAUUUAUUGAUUAUAAUGGACUUACUUUUUUGGCAUGAAUUAAAUCUUUAUAGAUAAAUACCUACAUUUGCACUUCCUAUGGAUUUAAGCAUUUAAGAUAGUGAUUCCCGCAUUCAUUUGAUUUUGUUGUGCCUGUGGUACACGUUCUUAGAGAUCUAUUAGAAUCUUUAGCAAGGGAGAUAGUAGUUGAUUCCGGAUAUAGAAAAGAUAUUGUAUUCGAGAGCAUAAGGCCGCUUUUGAAACCCUUGGUUUCUCUUGAGACGAUCAAGUUUUAACCAGUGAGAGAAUUGCAACAGUUGUGCCAAAAAGAGAACUACGUGUUAAAAAGAGCCUGUUGUGUCAACUGACAAUUCUACAGCAACUGUUAUAGCUGAGGUUGAAGCCAAUGACGUCAUAUAUAAAGAGUCAUGCACUGGUCCAAAUAAGGCAGGAGCCAAGAAACGUGCUUCAAAAAGCUGUUUUCAGGUCGUUAAAAGAGAGUAUAUCCACCAAAUUUCACCUACUUCCGCUCCUCUCAUCUCCCAAGCGUAAUAGGCAAAAGGAAGAGAAUUGAAAGUGUGAUGAUAACUUUGUAUGCUUCACUACUAUGAGUCCCUCGUAUGCUGAACUUUGAGUUUUCCGAUCUUUCAUUAAAAGGAUUUUAUUAUAUUUUUUUUAAAACACAUGGUACUAGUGUUGAGAUAAGAAUUGUUGAAAAUGACAAUCUUAGGGGAUGUAAAUUGUAUAGAUUAAGAGUAAAAUAUUUUUAAAGAAUUCUCAUCCCUAAGAUCUUUGAUUUUAAAGAUCUUUCUAUCUUUAAAAAUAUUUUACUCUUAAUCUAUACAAUUUACAUACCCUAAGAUUGUCAUUUUCAACAAUUCUCAUCCUAGCACUACUAACAAGUGUUUUAAAAAAAUAAUAAUAAAAACCUUUUGAUGAAAAAUUGGAGAACUCAAAGUUCAGCAUAUGAGGAACUCACAGUAGUGAAGCAUACAAAGUUAUCAUUACUCUUUCACUUCUCUUCCUUUUGCCUUUUAUGCUUGGGAGAUGAAAGAGGAAUUGGACGAAAUUUGCCGGACAUGCUCUCUUUUAACGACCUCAAAACAGCUUUUGAAGCACUUUUUUUGGUUUGUGCCUUAUUUGGACCAGUGCAUG